RNAcentral lists this ribosomal RNA (937 nucleotides) under Lactiplantibacillus plantarum. RNAcentral's name for it is "bacterial SSU rRNA". It matches the Rfam family "Bacterial small subunit ribosomal RNA", at positions 548 to 1485 of the family's 1533-position model. Lineage: Bacteria; Bacillati; Bacillota; Bacilli; Lactobacillales; Lactobacillaceae. The record is from RNAcentral.
GAUUUAUUGGGCGUAANCGAGCGCAGGCGGUUUUUUAAGUCUGAUGUGAAAGCCUUCGGCUCAACCGAAGAAGUGCAUCGGAAACUGGGAAACUUGAGUGCAGAAGAGGACAGUGGAACUCCAUGUGUAGCGGUGAAAUGCGUAGAUAUAUGGAAGAACACCAGUGGCGAAGGCGGCUGUCUGGUCUGUAACUGACGCUGAGGCUCGAAAGUAUGGGUAGCAAACAGGAUUAGAUACCCUGGUAGUCCAUACCGUAAACGAUGAAUGCUAAGUGUUGGAGGGUUUCCGCCCUUCAGUGCUGCAGCUAACGCAUUAAGCAUUCCGCCUGGGGAGUACGGCCGCAAGGCUGAAACUCAAAGGAAUUGACGGGGGCCCGCACAAGCGGUGGAGCAUGUGGUUUAAUUCGAAGCUACGCGAAGAACCUUACCAGGUCUUGACAUACUAUGCAAAUCUAAGAGAUUAGACGUUCCCUUCGGGGACAUGGAUACAGGUGGUGCAUGGUUGUCGUCAGCUCGUGUCGUGAGAUGUUGGGUUAAGUCCCGCAACGAGCGCAACCCUUAUUAUCAGUUGCCAGCAUUAAGUUGGGCACUCUGGUGAGACUGCCGGUGACAAACCGGAGGAAGGUGGGGAUGACGUCAAAUCAUCAUGCCCCUUAUGACCUGGGCUACACACGUGCUACAAUGGAUGGUACAACGAGUUGCGAACUCGCGAGAGUAAGCUAAUCUCUUAAAGCCAUUCUCAGUUCGGAUUGUAGGCUGCAACUCGCCUACAUGAAGUCGGAAUCGCUAGUAAUCGCGGAUCANNAUGCCGCGGGUGAAUACGUUCCCGGGCCUUGUACACACCGCCCGUCACACCAUGAGAGUUUGUAACACCCAAAGUCGGUGGGGUAACCUUUUAGGAACCAGCCGCCUANNNNGGACAGAUGNNUANGGUGANC